UACGUAGGGUGCGAGCGUUGUCCGGAAUUAUUGGGCGUAAAGAGCUCGUAGGCGGCUUGUCGCGUCGGUCGUGAAAACUUGGGGCUUAACCCUGAGCUUGCGGUCGAUACGGGCAUGACUGGAGUUCGGUAGGGGAGACUGGAAUUCCUGGUGUAGCGGUGAAAUGCGCAGAUAUCAGGAGGAACACCGGUGGCGAAGGCGGGUCUCUGGGCCGAUACUGACGCUGAGGAGCGAAAGCGUGGGGGAGCGAACAGG
RNAcentral lists this ribosomal RNA (255 nucleotides) under uncultured bacterium. RNAcentral describes it as "partial 16S ribosomal RNA". It matches the Rfam family "Bacterial small subunit ribosomal RNA", at positions 524 to 776 of the family's 1533-position model. The record is from RNAcentral.